CUACGGGAGGCAGCAGUGGGGAAUAUUGGACAAUGGGGGCAAGCCUGAUCCAGCCAUGCCGCGUGAGUGAAGAAGGCCUUCGGGUUGUAAAGCUCUUUUGUCCGGGAGCAAAUCCUGGUGGCUAAUACCCAUCGGGGAUGAGAGUACCGGAAGAAUAAGCACCGGCUAACUACGUGCCAGCAGCCGCGGUAAUACGUAGGGUGCAAGCGUUAAUCGGAAUUACUGGGCGUAAAGCGUGCGCAGGCGGCUGAUUAAGCUUGAUGUGAAAUCCCCGGGCUCAACCUGGGAACUGCAUUGAGGACUGGUCGGCUAGAGUGUGGCAGAGGGAGAUGGAAUUCCACGUGUAGCAGUGAAAUGCGUAGAGAUGUGGAGGAACACCGAUGGCGAAGGCAGUCUCCUGGGCCAACACUGACGCUCAUGCACGAAAGCGUGGGGAGCAAACAGGAUUAGAAACCCUGGUAGUCC
This 465-nucleotide ribosomal RNA is filed under the name uncultured bacterium. RNAcentral's name for it is "bacterial SSU rRNA". It matches the Rfam family "Bacterial small subunit ribosomal RNA", at positions 339 to 796 of the family's 1533-position model. The record is from RNAcentral.